CUUAUUAACUCAAUUAAAAUGAGUCGUUGCUCCAAGGUGUAAAUGUGUUGUUCCCUGCGGCUCACAGUUGCCUACAGAAAGAUGCAUUGAGAGUAAAAAUGGUCUACUAAGUGGCUUAGAGACGGCAGCAGAGUGAAAGCCUGUCUUCCAUCGUAGCCUUGUUUCUGCAGGGCAAAUCUGGGAAUUGCUCUGUCCUCUGUAAAUAGCAUGUUGGCAUCAAGAUCAAGGAAACAGGAAGUCCAGUGAUGAAGUUCACAAGGAUGGGGGAGGGCUGCCUUCCCAUUCAAACAUCUUGGCUGAGUGUUCUGCAAGGCGCAGAGCUCCACGAUGCUGAAUUGUGUAACGGGGUCCAGCCUGCUUCAGUUAUACCUCAGGAUCAAAACCUCCCAGAUUCAAAAUAGCAUCUAACACACUCCCCAUUCCUGUGCGCCUUGCUGCGUGUCCACGCACCAGAACAAGGGCAACAACAGCGCUUCCCCAGCUGCCCAUGACCUUCUUCCGCCUGCCCCAUUUAGUCUUGACUCUGCUCUGCCUCCACGCUCAAGGUCUGGCUGUGGCCAGGAGUCACUGAAUUAAUCAUGCUAAACAAGAGCUUUGCUGAUGUUUUAGAAUGUCGAGGGUGACCUAAUUCCCUGUAUCUGUUUUUCACAACUUU
RNAcentral lists this long non-coding RNA (655 nucleotides) under Marmota monax (woodchuck). Lineage: Eukaryota; Metazoa; Chordata; Mammalia; Rodentia; Sciuridae. The record is from RNAcentral.